This 253-nucleotide ribosomal RNA is filed under the name uncultured bacterium. Its description in RNAcentral is "partial 16S ribosomal RNA". It matches the Rfam family "Bacterial small subunit ribosomal RNA", at positions 524 to 776 of the family's 1533-position model. The record is from RNAcentral.
UACGUAGUAUGCAAGCGUUGUCCGGAAUUAUUGGGCGUAAAGAGCGCGCAGGCGGUAUGACAAGUCAGAUGUGAAAGAGGCCGGCUUAACCGGCAAGGGUCAUUUGAAACUGUCAGACUAGAGUGCAGCAGAGGAUAGUGGAAUUCCCGGUGUAGUGGUGAAAUGCGUAGAUAUCGGGAGGAACACCAGUGGCGAAGGCGACUAUCUGGGCUGCAACUGACGCUGAGGCGCGAAGGCUAGGGUAGCAAACAGG